Molecule: ribosomal RNA, 460 nt
Filed under: uncultured bacterium
Lineage: Bacteria
Description: partial 16S ribosomal RNA
Rfam family: Bacterial small subunit ribosomal RNA
Source: RNAcentral
CCUACGGGUGGCAGCAGUGAGGAAUAUUGGUCAAUGGGCGAGAGCCUGAACCAGCCAAGUCGCGUGAAGGAUGACGGCCCUACGGGUUGUAAACUUCUUUUGUCAGGGAGCAAUUGAGUCCACGUGUGGGCUUAGCGAGAGUACCUGAAGAAAAAGCAUCGGCUAACUCCGUGCCAGCAGCCGCGGUAAUACGGAGGAUGCGAGCGUUAUCCGGAUUUAUUGGGUUUAAAGGGUGCGUAGGCGGAAUAUCAAGUCAGCGGUAAAAAUUCGGGGCUCAACCCCGUCGUGCCGUUGAAACUGGCAGUCUUGAGUACAGUAGAGUUGGGCGGAAUUCGUGGUGUAGCGGUGAAAUGCUUAGAUAUCACGAAGAACUCCGAUUGCGAAGGCAGUUCACUGGACUGCAACUGACACUGAGGCUCGAAAGUGUGGGUAUCAAACAGGAUUAGAUACCCGAGUAGUC